CCUACGGGAGGCAGCAGUAGGGAAUAUUGCUCAAUGGGGGAAACCCUGAAGCAGCAACGCCGCGUGGAGGAUGAAGGUCUUCGGAUUGUAAACUCCUUUUGUUAGAGAAGAAAAUGACGGUAUCUAACGAAUAAGCACCGGCUAACUCCGUGCCAGCAGCCGCGGUAAUACGGAGGGUGCAAGCGUUACUCGGAACCACUGGGCGUAAAGAGCGCGUAGGCGGGAUAGCGAGUCAGAUGUGAAAUCCUCUGGCUUAACCAUAGAACUGCAUUUGAAACUGUUAUUCUAGAGUAUGGGAGAGGUAGGUGGAAUUCUAGGUGUAGGGGUGAAAUCCGUAGAGAUCUAGAGGAAUACUCAUUGCGAAGGCGACCUGCUGGACCAUGACUGACGCUGAUGCGCGAAAGCGUGGGGAGCAAACAGGAUUAGAUACCCCUGUAGUC
This 440-nucleotide ribosomal RNA is filed under the name uncultured bacterium. Its description in RNAcentral is "partial 16S ribosomal RNA". It matches the Rfam family "Bacterial small subunit ribosomal RNA", at positions 338 to 795 of the family's 1533-position model. The record is from RNAcentral.